GUGCUCGAUUCGGCAGCACAUAUACUAAAAUUGGAACAAUACAGAGAAGACUAGCAUGGCCCCUGCGCAAGGAUGACACACAAAUUCGUGAAACGUUCCAUAUUUUU
RNAcentral lists this small nuclear RNA (107 nucleotides) under Suricata suricatta (meerkat). The record is from RNAcentral. Lineage: Eukaryota; Metazoa; Chordata; Mammalia; Carnivora; Herpestidae.